GGCGACAUGGCCAAGUGGCUAAGGCAGAGGUCUGCAACACCUUUAUCGGCGGUUCGAAUCCGCCUGUCGCCUCCA
RNAcentral lists this transfer RNA (75 nucleotides) under Propionigenium maris DSM 9537. RNAcentral describes it as "tRNA-Cys". It matches the Rfam family "tRNA". Rfam says of the family: Transfer RNA (tRNA) molecules are approximately 80 nucleotides in length. Their secondary structure includes four short double-helical elements and three loops (D, anti-codon, and T loops). Further hydrogen bonds mediate the characteristic L-shaped molecular structure. tRNAs have two regions of fundamental functional importance: the anti-codon, which is responsible for specific mRNA codon recognition, and the 3' end, to which the tRNAs corresponding amino acid is attached (by aminoacyl-tRNA synthetases). tRNAs cope with the degeneracy of the genetic code in two manners: having more than one tRNA (with a specific anti-codon) for a particular amino acid; and 'wobble' base-pairing, i.e. permitting non-standard base-pairing at the 3rd anti-codon position. The record is from RNAcentral. Lineage: Bacteria; Fusobacteriati; Fusobacteriota; Fusobacteriia; Fusobacteriales; Fusobacteriaceae.